CCCGCAACGAGCGCAACCCUUGUCUUUAAUUGCCAUCAUUCAGUUUGGGCACUUUAAAGAGACUGCCGGUGUUAAACCGGAGGAAGGUGGGAUGACGUCAAGUCCUCAUGGCCUUUAUGCCCAGGGCUACACACGUGCUACAAUGGGUGGUACAAAGAGAUGCAAUCUCGCAAGAGCAAGCAAACCUCAAAAAGCCAUCCUCAGUUCGGAUUGGAGUCUGCAACUCGACUCCAUGAAGUCGGAAUCGCUAGUAAUCGCGGAUCAGCACGCCGCGGUGAAUACGUUCCCGGGCCUU
Molecule: ribosomal RNA, 295 nt
Filed under: uncultured Syntrophus sp.
Lineage: Bacteria; Pseudomonadati; Thermodesulfobacteriota; Syntrophia; Syntrophales; Syntrophaceae
Description: partial 16S ribosomal RNA
Rfam family: Bacterial small subunit ribosomal RNA
Source: RNAcentral